UGGUAACUAACUUUGCUUCAUAAAAUUUGGUCUUGGGAGAGGUUUGUUAUCUGGGUGAAGGGGAAAAGUUAGAAGUUUGAGAGAAGAUGGUGUCCAAGGUCAAGGAUUCGAGACCUAGAAGGCAAGAAUCCAUGAAGAAGAAGCAUGACCAUGAAGUGAAGGGGAAGGACCAAAGGCAAGAGGUGAUGAAGCUGCAAUGCAACAAGGGCAAGGCUUGCAAGUUCAAAAGGAGCUGCUUCAGUGAGGAGGAGGAUGCUGCUUCUUCUGCCAUCCUCCUCUUAGCUUGUAUUGUCUGUGCUUCUUCCUCCAUAUAGCUACAUUUUUUUUUUCUUAUAAAGUUUGUACUUGAUAUCUAUACUAUGAUCUUCACCAUGUAUUGUGUGUAUUUAAUAUAUUCUGGAAUAUAUUCUCUCUCUCUCUCUCUC
This 425-nucleotide long non-coding RNA is filed under the name Elaeis guineensis (African oil palm). Its description in RNAcentral is "long non-coding RNA (EGUI_LNC073248)". The record is from RNAcentral. Lineage: Eukaryota; Viridiplantae; Streptophyta; Magnoliopsida; Arecales; Arecaceae.